Molecule: transfer RNA, 84 nt
Filed under: Candidatus Woesearchaeota archaeon
Lineage: Archaea; Nanobdellati; Candidatus Woesearchaeota
Description: tRNA-Leu
Rfam family: tRNA
About the family: Transfer RNA (tRNA) molecules are approximately 80 nucleotides in length. Their secondary structure includes four short double-helical elements and three loops (D, anti-codon, and T loops). Further hydrogen bonds mediate the characteristic L-shaped molecular structure. tRNAs have two regions of fundamental functional importance: the anti-codon, which is responsible for specific mRNA codon recognition, and the 3' end, to which the tRNAs corresponding amino acid is attached (by aminoacyl-tRNA synthetases). tRNAs cope with the degeneracy of the genetic code in two manners: having more than one tRNA (with a specific anti-codon) for a particular amino acid; and 'wobble' base-pairing, i.e. permitting non-standard base-pairing at the 3rd anti-codon position.
Source: RNAcentral
GCGGGGCUGCCGGAGUGGCCAAACGGGACAGACUCAAGAUCUGUUGGCUUAGUGCCUACGCAGGUUCGAAUCCUGCGCCCCGCA